RNAcentral lists this ribosomal RNA (519 nucleotides) under uncultured eukaryote. RNAcentral's name for it is "bacterial SSU rRNA". It matches the Rfam family "Eukaryotic small subunit ribosomal RNA", at positions 1161 to 1706 of the family's 1831-position model. The record is from RNAcentral.
AGGGCACCACCAGGAGUGGAGCCUGCGGCUUAUUUUGACUCAACACGGGAAAACUCACCCGGCCCGGACACUGUAAGGAUUGACAGACUGAGAGCUCUUUCUUAAUUCGGUGGGUGGUGGUGCAUGGCCGUUCUUAAUUGGUGGAGCGAUUUGUCUGGUUAAUUCCGAUAACGAACGAGACUCUGGCCUAUUAAAUAGACGGUGUAUGUUGAAAGAUAUCGCGCUCACUCAGGGCAAGCGGCGUCUAGCCGCAUGAAAUAGGGAUAUAACAGGGCUGAGAUGGCCUUCAAUGUGCGGGGAUGCGGGCACGCUACACUGAAAGAAUCCGUGGGUGAUUUUCCUAAUUCGGAUGACCCCCCUGACCCAGGUAAAUUCUUUCGAGCUUGGAAUAGGAAAUUGCAAUUAUUUCCCUUAAACGAGGAAUUCCCAGUAAAUGCGGCUCAUAAGCUCGCGUUGAUUACUCCCCUGCCCUUUGUGCCCACCGCCCGACGCUACUACGGAUUGCACGACUUAAUGAGG